Molecule: transfer RNA, 68 nt
Filed under: Piezodorus guildinii (redbanded stink bug)
Lineage: Eukaryota; Metazoa; Arthropoda; Insecta; Hemiptera; Pentatomidae
Description: tRNA-Arg
Source: RNAcentral
AGAUAUUGAAGUAAAAAAUUACAUUUAGUUUCGACCUAAAAAUUAGGAUAAUUAUUAUCCCUUAUCUA